UGACAUCAGAUCAGACGUGGUGAUCCAUUGAAUUUAAGCGUAUUAGUGAGCGGAGGAAAAGAGACCAACCAGGAUUCCCUUAGUAACAGUGAGUGAAGAGGGAAGAGCCCAGUGCUGAAUCCCUGCCUUGUGGUGGGGUGUGGGAAAUGUUGCAUAUGGAAGGCCCUGUCCCCGGCACCGCUGGUGGGUGGCCCAAGUCCUGAUCUAGGCCAAGACUGUUGGUGGUGUGAGGCUGGUAGCCACCCCUGGCGCGCUGGGCCCGGGUCUUCCUGGAGUUGGGUUGCUUGGGAAUGCAGACCAAAGGGGGUGGUAAACAUCUAAGACUAAAUACUGACACGAGAGCGAUAGUGAAGUACCAUAAGGGAAAGUUGAAAAGAACUUUGAAGAGAGGGCAUGAAACCAUUAAGAGGUAAAUGGGUGGGGUCCGAGCAGUCUGCUUGGAGGAUUCAACCCGGCUGCUGGUCUGGCCAUGUUGGUGGCCCGGUGGAUCUUUUCUGCCCCCUGUUCCUCCUGACCCUCCCACCCGCCCUCCCUCCCCCACUGCCCCUCCUCCUCCCCGGAGCGGGUGGGCUCCGGUGGGAGUGUGGGCAGGCGGGGCCGGGAUCGGUGGAGGACUGUCCCCCAACUGGCGACUGGCGGCCGCUGGGUGCAUUUCCACCGCGGCGGUGCACUGUGACUGGCUCUGGGAUGGGUGGGAAAGCCCGGUGGGGAAGGGUGGGUCUGGGGGCCCCUUCUGUCCUUCCCCAUCUUCUCCCAGGCUGCGUGUCCUCCCUCGGGAGGCCGUGCGGGUCGGGGUGGUGGUGGUGGUGGGACCAAAUCUCCUGAGUUACAGAACCCCUGCAGCAGCCAUUGUCAAAUCCCAGGGCCGAGGGAGAGAGACCCAUUGUUGUGCUCUCCCCUGCCAGUGCCCUCCCCCCUGGGGGUGCGCCGGUGUCUCCUGUUGGGGAGCCGGGACACCCCUCCCACUGUGUCUGCUCUCUCAACCCCCUACCUGCAUCCCCGGUGACGGGGAGCUGUGUAGGGGGAUAGGGCAGACUGUCCCCAGUGUGCCAUGGGCGGGUCAUGCUGUCGGCCCGGGGGAGUUCUCUUGGGGCCACGCAGACGUCCCUCGGUGUAGCAAGCACAUGGGAUCGGUGGUGACGUCGGCUCCCCACCCGACCCAUCUUGAAACACGGACCAAGGUUAACACGUGCAUGAGUCAGGGGCUCGCACGAAAGCCGCUGUGGAGCCAUGAAGGUGAAGGCUGGUGUGCUCACUGGCUGAGGUGGGAUCCCGAGGCCUCUCCAGUCUGCCGACAGCGUACCACCAUCCCAUCUCACCUGCCGCGCCAGGGAGGUGGAGCACGAGCGCAUGUGUUAGGACCUGAGAGAUGGUGAACUAUGCUUGGACAGGGUGGAGCCAGAGGAAACUCUGGUGGAGGUCCGUAGCGGCCCUGAUGUAGAAAUCGGUCUUUCGACUUGGGUAUAGGGGUGAAAGACUAAUGGAAUCAUCUAGUAGCUGGUUCCCUCUGAAGUUUCCCUCAGGAUACCUGGUGCUCUCGCAAACGUAACCUCACCAUGCAGUUUUAUCCGGCAAAGCCAAUGAUUAGAGGUCUUGGGGAGGAAAUGAUCUCAACCUAUUCUGAAACUUUAAGUGUGUAAGAAGCCUGGCUCACUGGCAUGGAGCCAGGCAUGGAAUGAGAGUGCCUAGUGGGCUACUUUUGGUAAGUAGAACUGGCACUGUGGGAUGAACCGAAUGCCGGGUUAAGGUGCCCAAAGCCAACAGUCAUCAGACCCCAGAAAACGUGUUGGUUGAUAUAGACAGCAGGACGGUGGCCAUGGAAGUUGGAAUCUGCUAAGGAUUGUGUAAUAACUUACCUGCCAAAUCAACUAGCCCUGAAAAUGGAUGGUGCUGGAGCGUCGGGCCCAUACACGGCUGUUGCUGGCAGUUGAGAGUGGACGGGAGCGGUGGUGGCAGUAUGCCCGUGUGAGUGUGGUGGGGGUCCUCUCCUCCCACCUCCCCUGGAGCCCCAGGGACUCUACGCCAUGACGAGUAGGAGGGCCGCUGCAGUAAGUUUUGAAGCCUAGGGCGUGGGCCUGGGUGGAGCCGCCACAGGUGCAGAUCUUGGUUGUAGUACCAAAUUUUCAAAUGAGAACUUUGAAGGCCAAAGUGGAGAAGGGUUCCAUGUGAACAGCAGUUGAACAUAGGUCGGUCGGUCCUGAGAGAUGGGUGAGUGUCGUCCCGAAGGGAAGGGUGAUGGCCUCCAUUGCCCUCAGCCGAUUGAAAGGGAGUCGGGUUCAGAUCCCUGAAUCCAGAGUGGUGGAGAUGGGCACCACGAGGCGUCCAGUGUGGUAAUAUAACCGAUCCUGGAGAAGCAUGUGGGUGCCCCAGGGAGGGUUCUCUUUUCUUUGUGAAGGACAGGGCACCUGGAGUGGCAUUGCCCUGAGAGAGGGACCUGUACCUUGCAAAGCAUCGUGGUUCUGCUGGUGUCUGGUGAGCUCUGGCUGGCCCUUGAAAAUCCAGGGGAGACGGUGUAAGUCUCACACAGGGCCAUACCCAUGUCUACAGCAGGUCUCCAAGGUGAACAGACUCUGGCCUGUUGGAACAAUGUAGGUAAAAGUAGUCAGCAAGCCAGAUCCAUAACUUUGGGAUAAGUAUUGGCUGUAAGGGCUGGGUGCGUGCCGCCGCUGGACGAGGUGCUGCCGCCUCCCCACUACCCGGGCGAGCCUGUCGUGGCCCUCCCCUGCCCCACCCCAUGUGCCGCUCGCUCCCUCCACUGCCCCCUCUCUCCCCAUCCUCCCCCUCCCUGGGGGUGGCAGUGGCCAUAGGGCACUGGUGGCAGGGUAUGAUCUCCUGUGAGGGGGGCCUGGGAGGCUAGUGUCGGUGGUGACUCUGGACGCAAGUUGGGCCCUUCCCAUGGAUUGCCCCAGUUGUGGCCGCCCAUGGGGAGUCAGGUGGGUGCUGGUGUGCCCUGUCUUGCUCUGUGCCAUGGUGCAUGUCCACUCAGGCAGGGAGCGAUCUGGUGUUGGUGGGUGGUGGGUGGUGUGUGGGGUGGUUCGUUCCCCCACCUCCCCCCGGCCCCAUCUGUCUCCCGUCCCCCACCCCGUGGUGGUGGCGGGCUACUGGCUGGUUCCUAUCCCCAGGACCAUCGUUCUGUGCAGUGCCUCGGCUGGUGCUUAGCAGCCAACUUAGAGCUGGUGUGCACCAGGGGAACCCGACCAUUUAAAGAAAGCAUCGCGAAGGCCCUCAGGGAGUGUUGUGAAAUGAUUUCUGCCCAGUGCUCUGAAUGUCAAAAUGAAGAAAUUCAAUGAAGCACGGGUAAAUGGCAGGAGUAACUGACUCUCUUAAGGUAGCCAAAUGUCCCGUCAACUAACUAGUGAUGUACAUGAACGGAUGAACGAGAUUCUCACUGUCCCUACCUACUUGCUCUCCAGUGAAACAACAGCCAAGGGAAUGGGAUUGGUGGAAUCAGUGGGGAAUGAAGACUCUGUUGAGCUGGCUCUAGUCUGGCAUGGUGAAGAGAUGGGAGAGGUGUAGAAUAAGUGGGAGGUCUCCGGUGCCCCCCUGUCCCCGUGAGGGGGCAGGGUGGGUUCCUGUGGGCUGCCCGUGGACUAUUAAUACUCUGAUCCUUUUUUCACUGACACGGUGAGGCAGGGGGUGAGGCCCAAGGGGCUCUGCCUUCUGGUGCCAAGUGCCCAGCUGUGCGCCGGCCGGGUGUGAUCCAUUCCAGGGACAGUGCCAGGUGGGGAGUUUGUGGCAGUACGCCUGUCGAACGGUAAUGCAGAUGUCCUAAGACGAGUUCAGGGAGGACAGAAACUUCUUGAGGAGAAGGGCAAAAGCUCGCUUGAUCUUGAUUUUCAGUGCGAAUACAGACUGAAAGCUGGGCUUUGAUGCUCCUUCUGAUCCUUUUAAGCAGGAGAUUGUCAGGAAGUUACCAUGGGGAUAACUGGCUUGUUGCAGCCAAGUGUUCAUAGAGACGUUGCUUUUUGAUCAUUUGAUGUUGGCUCUUCCUAUCAUUGUGAGGUAGAAUUCACCCAGCAUUGGAUUGUUCAACUAAUAGGGCAUGUGAGCUGGAUUUAGACCGUCGUGAAACAGGUUAGUUUUACCCUGUGUGAUGUGUUGCCAUGGUACCUGCUCAGCAUGAGAGGAACCGCAGGUUUAGACAUAUGCUUGUUUGAGGAGCCAAUAGGGUGAAGCUACCAUCUUUUGGAUUAUGACUGAAUGCCUCUAAGUCAGAAUCCCACCCAGGUGGAAGGAUACAGCAAUGUUGUGGAGCCUUGGUUGGCCUUGGACAGCUGGUUCUCCAUCCCUGCUGGUAGGCUGCAGAGCCCUGGGUUGGGUGUGUCCCACCAUGUGCCUGGACUGGGUCCGGUGCAGAGUGCUCUUCAUCCUGGGAAGGGUGUGGCUGGAAAGGCGACCUACUCGCCCUUCAUGCAACACACAUUCGGAGGGAACUUGGUGCUAAACCAUUCGUAGACGACUUGCUUCCAGGUCGGAGUUUCAUAAGUAGCAGGGCAGCUCCCUUGCUGUGAUCUAUUGAAAGUCAGCCCUUGACACAAGGGUUUGU
Molecule: ribosomal RNA, 4546 nt
Filed under: Pan troglodytes (chimpanzee)
Lineage: Eukaryota; Metazoa; Chordata; Mammalia; Primates; Hominidae
Description: Eukaryotic large subunit ribosomal RNA
Rfam family: Eukaryotic large subunit ribosomal RNA
Source: Rfam by way of RNAcentral